This 253-nucleotide ribosomal RNA is filed under the name uncultured bacterium. RNAcentral's name for it is "partial 16S ribosomal RNA". It matches the Rfam family "Bacterial small subunit ribosomal RNA", at positions 524 to 776 of the family's 1533-position model. The record is from RNAcentral.
UACGAAGGGGGCUAGCGUUGCUCGGAAUCACUGGGCGUAAAGCGCACGUAGGCGGAUCUUUAAGUCAGGGGUGAAAUCCCGAGGCUCAACCUCGGAACUGCCUUUGAUACUGGGGAUCUCGAGUCCGGGAGAGGUGAGUGGAACUGCGAGUGUAGAGGUGAAAUUCGUAGAUAUUCGCAAGAACACCAGUGGCGAAGGCGGCUCACUGGCCCGGUACUGACGCUGAGGUGCGAAAGCGUGGGGAGCAAACAGG